UACGUAGGGUGCGAGCGUUAAUCGGAAUUACUGGGCGUAAGGCGUGCGCAGGCGGUGAUGUAAGACCGAUGUGAAAUCCCCGGGCUUAACCUGGGAACUGCAUUGGUGACUGCAUCGCUCGAGUAUGGCAGAGGGGGGUAGAAUUCCACGUGUAGCAGUGAAAUGCGUAGAGAUGUGGAGGAAUACCGAUGGCGAAGGCAGCCCCCUGAGUCAAUACUGACGCUCAUGCACGAAAGCGUGGGGAGCAAACAGG
RNAcentral lists this ribosomal RNA (253 nucleotides) under uncultured bacterium. RNAcentral describes it as "partial 16S ribosomal RNA". It matches the Rfam family "Bacterial small subunit ribosomal RNA", at positions 524 to 776 of the family's 1533-position model. The record is from RNAcentral.